GCGGCUGGUGUCAGCUGGUAGAGCAUCACGUUGCCAACGUGAAUGUUACGACUUAUGUUGAUGAGAGUAGUCUCGUUAGCCGCUCCA
This 87-nucleotide transfer RNA is filed under the name Colwellia sp. RNAcentral describes it as "tRNA-Gly". The record is from RNAcentral. Lineage: Bacteria; Pseudomonadati; Pseudomonadota; Gammaproteobacteria; Alteromonadales; Colwelliaceae.